RNAcentral lists this ribosomal RNA (1212 nucleotides) under metagenome. RNAcentral describes it as "bacterial SSU rRNA". It matches the Rfam family "Bacterial small subunit ribosomal RNA", at positions 184 to 1369 of the family's 1533-position model. The record is from RNAcentral.
CGUCGCAUGGCGAGGAUACUAAAGGUGGGGAUUCUUCGGAACCUGCCGCUUGGAGAGGGGCCCGCGUGCCAUUGGCUUGUUGGUGAGGUAACUGCUCACCAAGGCGUAUGGCUAGCUGGUCUGAGAGGAUGAUCAGCCACACUGGGACUGAGACACUGCCCAGACUCCUACGGGAGGCUGCAGUCGAGGAUCAUUCGCAAUGCGCGAAAGCGUGACGAUGCGACGCUGCGUGGAGGAUGACGGCUUUCGGGUUGUAAACUCCUGUCAUUCGGGAAAAAUUGCUACGGGGUUAAUACCCCCGAAGCGUGAUGGUACCGGAAGAGGAAGCCACGGCUAACUCUGUGCCAGCAGCCGCGGUAAUACAGAGGUGGCGAGCGUUGUUCGGAUUUACUGGGCGUAAAGCGUGCGCAGGCGGUUUCGUAUGUCGGGUGUGAAAGCCCAUGGCUCAACUGUGGAAUUGCAUCCGAAACUGCGGAACUAGAGUGCAGGAGGGGAGAGCGGAAUUCUUGGUGUAGCGGUGAAAUGCGUUGAUAUCAAGAGGAACACCGGUGGCGAAGGCGGCUCUCUGGAAUGUAACUGACGCUAAAGCACGAAAGCUGGGGAGCGAACAGGAUUAGAUACCCUGGUAGUCCCAGCCGUAAACUGUGUCGACUUGGUGUUGGGGGUAUUGACCCCCCCAGUGCCGGAGCUAACGCGUUAAGUCGACCGCCUGGGGAGUACGGCCGCAAGGCUAAAACUCAAAGAAAUUGACGGGGGCCCGCACAAGCGGAGGAGCAUGUGGCUUAAUUCGAUGCAACGCGAAGAACCUUACCAGGGCUUGACAUAGUGCUGCAAGCCACCCGAAAGGGAGGUCGCUUUCGAAGGUGCAUUACAGGUGCUGCAUGGCUGUCGUCAGUUCGUGCCGUGAGGUGUUGGGUUAAGUCCCGCAACGAACGCAACCCUUGUGGUUAGUUGCCACCGGCGGUGAUGAGCCGCCGAGCACUCUAGCCAGACUGCCCGUACAAGCGGGAGGAAGGUGGGGAUGACGUCAAGUCAGUAUGGCCCUUACGCCCUGGGCUGCACACGUGCUACAAUGGUCGGUACAAUGGGACGCAAUAUCGUGAGGUGGAGCAAAUCCCCAAAACCGGCCCCAGUUCGGAUUGGAGUCUGCAACUCGACUCCAUGAAGUCGGAUUCGCUAGUAACGGCGUAUCAGCUACGACGCCGUGAAUAC